ACAUGUACGUCUGGCCGACGUCGGCCCAAUAUCGAAACGUCGGCCUCUAUACCUAAAACAUCUAUAAAACAUCGGCCUGGCGGAGGCCGAUAUAAUUUGGUCAGUGCUCUGUUCUCCAGCUCAUCAAUCGUCGGCCCUGAGUUGGUUCACGACCGCAGGGCCGAUGCCGCGCUUCUCUGUGUGCGCGUGCCCAGUAUUCGUCUCUUUUAGCCACCCAGAGAGAGAGAAGAGGAUAAUCCCAGCGACAUCUGUGGCUCUGAGGUAGCGUUACGAUUUCACUUCAGCUCAAUUAGACAAAAAAUACUUCUUUGUUAAUUCUGUGACACUGAAAAAGUACUAGUAAGGCACACGGUGUGUUUUAUACAGUCUAUGGGCAGCUGAAGAGUCUGGCUCAUUUUCAAAUAAUGUUACCGUUAACUUUUUGAGCCAACGGUCACGGUAGCGAUUUUUUUUAACAUUAAUGUUAACGCCUUAAUGCGUUUUCAGAAGUUUCUCGGAGGGAAAAUGUAAAAGCGGGUUAUUAAAGAGAAGUCCUGACUGCUUUUUCACCGUGUUUUUCACUCUUUUACAGGCUUCCAGAAAUAAUCCGGUGAAAUAAUAUAAAUAAAUAAUGUAAAUUAGGCUAACUAUAUAGAUUGAGCUCUUGUUGAUGAAACUCUGGGCUUUUAAUCAAAUCUUCGAUUUGAUUAAAACAAAAUGAUUUUUAAAUUAAUUAUUGAAUGAUUAUUGAAUGAGACUGUACUUUAUAAAUGUAAUGUUUUAACUAUAGAUGUUUGUUUGUGUAAAUGCUGUGUGCGAGUUGAGUCCUGCGCGAGCGGGGAGCAGAGUUGCCAUGGAAACGGGGCAUCAACACAAAAACCGUUACUGGCAAGCAGUAAUCUCCGUCUCUCGCUGCAGUUUACACUGUUUUGGGAGGACAGAAAGAAACUCUACAGAACAGAAGUGAAGCUCCAAGAUUUCAACAUUUCUAAAGGGAGAUUCUGACUUAGAAAUACAAGCUUGUUUCCUUCUAAUGAACCUGGAACUGCAGAGUAAAUAUUGUUGACUCCGUGUCAGAUUGCUUGUUUUGUUCCUGGAUUUUUCAGUGAUGAUGAGCAGAGUCUGAGUGAACCUGCUGUCAGACAGGUUGGCCUGAUUGACGAUGCCAUCGUCCAUCGCCGAUGGCUGAUAGACAUCACGAUGCUGCGCCGGAAACAGCGUCAUCAGCUCCAGUAUCUCGCCCGUGCAUCUGUUGUCAUGCGACAGAGAAGUCACGUUCUAUAGACAGUUUCUAUAGACAGUUGUGAACGUGCUGACAGCUGGUUGCCCAGGCUAUGGAUUAAAGGUAAUACUGUUGGCCAGCAGAGCCCUGCUCACCCUGACGGCCCACCGCUGCUGUCAGACAACAUCUCCAAGAUGCUAUAAACUGCAGGACCAGAUGGCCAUCCCAAGGUUUCUAGAGAUUACAGCAGCUCCAAACUGAAUCCAAACUCACUCGUGAAGACUUCAGAUGACACCAACGCUCACAAAGACUACAGACGACAACUGUACAUGAACACACAAAACAUUGGACACACAAAACAAAUAUUAUCCUUAUUUUGCCUAUAAGGGUAAAUUUGAUGAUUUUCAAACUGCUUUAUUGUAACGUCUCUUAUAUCUGUAAAUGAACAAUAUUUACUCUCUGAGUUAUGUGGACCUACAUGUCCCCUUAUAUUUGUAAGCAUCACUUUAAAAAUGUUGAAAGAUAAUGUUAAUGUUAACUGAAUACAAAACUAGAGACUUGUUUAGUAAGAUUUUAUCAGAAAAUAUUUUUGAACUUUUAUCAUGCAAUUUAAAACAUUUUAAUUGCUUAAUUAGUAUUGUUUUCCUGGUUUUAUUUUGUGUUUAUGUAACUCUUUUUAAAAAGUUCUUGGCAUAAAGUUAGCCCGCGCUGCUGACAGCACUGAACACAUGACUUUUUAUUAUGAACUAGAUGGUCUUCCCAGUGAGUCUCAGUCAUCUCUGGCUUUUUAAACUGUAACCUUGAAACAUGCAUUUCCUGUAAACCUACUUUGAAAUAAGUAUUGUCAAAAGAUGCUAUACUCAUACAACAUUUAACCAUGCAAGUACUGUAGUAAUGGUUAUUUUUGUUUUUACUAUGGGUUUACUGCAAAAGCUGUAGUAAAAUCAUGGUGAUUGUAGUAAAACUAUGGUUGAUUUUGUUUUUUCUAUGGUUUUACUGCAAAAGCUGUAGUAAUAUCAUGGUUAAUGUUCAAAAGACUACAAAUAAUCCCGAAUUAUCCACUUUUGAUCAAAGCAUCUGGUAAAUGUUAUUGUAUUUGUAUAUGUAAUAUGAAAUAAAUGAAAAUAUUAAUAAAGUUGCGUCUGUUCUUGA
Molecule: long non-coding RNA, 2353 nt
Organism: Carassius gibelio (silver crucian carp)
Lineage: Eukaryota; Metazoa; Chordata; Actinopteri; Cypriniformes; Cyprinidae
Exons: 6
Source: RefSeq, a predicted model, not a curated record